UACGUAAGGUGCAAGCGUUAAUCGGAAUUACUGGGCGUAAAGCGUGCGCAGGCGGUUUUGUAAGUCUGACGUGAAAGCCCCGGGCUUAACCUGGGAAUUGCGUUGGAGACUGCAAGGCUUGAAUCUGGCAGAGGGGGGUAGAAUUCCACGUGUAGCAGUGAAAUGCGUAGAGAUGUGGAGGAACACCGAUGGCGAAGGCAGCCCCCUGGGUCAAGAUUGACGCUCAUGCACGAAAGCGUGGGGAGCAAACAGG
RNAcentral lists this ribosomal RNA (253 nucleotides) under uncultured bacterium. RNAcentral describes it as "partial 16S ribosomal RNA". It matches the Rfam family "Bacterial small subunit ribosomal RNA", at positions 524 to 776 of the family's 1533-position model. The record is from RNAcentral.